Numida meleagris (helmeted guineafowl) is the source of this 1811-nucleotide long non-coding RNA. NCBI's taxonomy places the organism in Eukaryota, Metazoa, Chordata, Aves, Galliformes, Numididae. The record is from Ensembl.
GUAAUGAAUCACAUUUUGCUACAGUGGCUGAAGGGAAAGACAUUCGAAGUGCAAGAGCAAUAAAUUCACAUGUAAAACAAGCCACCCACCGCACUUUUAUUUCCUCCAGACCUGCUGCUUAUUAGAUGCCUUGGCGAAAAGCUUAAUGCCUUGUGUCAUCUCUAAUGCAUGCCUUUGCAACAGCAGCUGCACUUUGAAUUCAUCCAUCAUUUGCCAGGAUCUAAACAACAGAAGAAUUUUCUGCUGCUCUAGUUUGCACUUUCCAAUCCUACAUCAUCAGCAGCCUGAAGAAAACCACAGCAGCAAGCAGGGGAAUAAUUAUGUGUGUGUGCAUGCACAUGCAUAUGUAGGAUUUUGGAGAGUUGCAUGUGAGUAUGCACUGAAACAGAGUUUACCACUGGUCAGGCACAGAGAACAUGGGAGAAGAACUGCAGACAUCUGGCUGGGACAGUGACACGAGUCUAACCUCACCUUCAGUUCUUCACAAAGAACCUAUUCAUUGAGUGACCUUGGAUGAAUCACCGAGGUCAGACUUUACUCCAGCAUUUCGCCAGUUGGCAGCAGAGAGAAGGAACAGUAAAGGAAGACACUUGAGCAGGUCAAAGCCAAUAGAAAGCGACUUGAGAGGAAAGAAUGAGCAGUGUCCCUACACAAGGUCACUAUUUGUUAUGGCAUCAUUUACUUUGUACCUGGAAAAAUAACCCACACCUUCUCUUCUCUAUUUUUUUUUUUUUGCUGAAGGGAAAUAAUUCAUGCUUCUGAGACAGCCUUUACCCCAGACAUAUUUAAGGCAAUAUUAAGCUCUCAUAAAAAUUACUUACUUUGAUCUAAGAGACCAUGACAUAUAGAGCAUACACGAAGCCAUUCCCUCUCCUAAGUUUCAUCAAUUUUAAAAUGUUGACAUAUUCAAACCGGAGCAGAUUGUAAAAUCUGUCACAAAGACCAAAGAACUAAAGCCCAAAAUUGUAAAAUAUGUGCAUUAUUUAUCUUGUGGUUUCAUUAAGAAGCUUGACUGGGAUCAGAUCACCACUCUGUGAGGCAGAAGGUAGAGAGAUUCCCAAGCAGGGAUCAUUCCAACUGUAUUUCAGAGAGAAAAGAAGAGAAUGAGACAGAUGAAGCAUCUGAAGGUUCUGAAGCUGAGUAGAAAAGAGUUUCCAUACAUAGGAACAGAGAGCUCUUUUUGGGGAAAAUGCUAGCUAAUCUGUCAUUUCCAACCACUGACCCCACCUUAGGAAGAUCUAGGAUAUAUAACAGAAAUCAACCAUAACAAAACAAAAGCAACCAUACGACGCAAUGCUAUAAUAAGUAGGAAAUGCUCAGUUUAUUCUGUUUUUAAUAGGUGCUUGUGUGCAAGCUGCUGCGCCGGCUGGCACGGAAGGCCAGAGAAGCUCAGGAAGGAGAUGAAUGAGGCUGUGCUGUGAGUCUGGCUCUGUGGCUGUGGGCUAUCCUAACCCUUAUGCUCUGCGAGCUGGCACAGAUGGGGCAGUGUGUAACUCACCAGUGAAUUAUACAUGCCAUUAAAUGAGUCAUUGAAAAUUCCCAUUUCUGUGGAGGGGCAUUGAAGCGAACAGGGAACAUGCAUCAAAUAUCAUUUCAUAGGCAUACAUGGUUGAAUAAUUUUAAUCUGAAUACCAACAGCCUCACACUCUUUCCUCAAGCUUACCUGGCUGACUUUAUGACUAAAAGAAGCCAGAGUCAUGAUUCCUCUGAGAUAAGACUCAUUGCAGUGAAAGAAACAGCAGUUAGAAGGGAAAAAACAGUCUAUGAGCAGAAACCCAGCUUUGCACAAUAAACCUAUAUCACACCCAACA